AUGAAGUCCAGCUACCCCAGGCGGUACCUUGCCUUCUUCUACUACAACACCAUGGCGUUCGGAGCCUCGCUCAUGGUGCUCAUACUGCUCCUGCUGAGGGAGCUGACCCACAAGGCGGCCUGGCUCCGCGCGCUCCAGUUCGCCAUGAUUCUUGGCUUACUGGGGCUCAUGGGGGCCUUCGCCGCUGGGAGCUGCAGGGAGGUGAGGACCUCUGCUUACAUCUGGGUGUUACUCCUUGGCAUCUUCGCCUAUGUCACACUCCAUGUGGUAUUCUUCAAGCAUUUGGCACCUAAAUGUCUGCGAGAUAUGUUCUCGGAUAUUCGUGCAUAUUGGAGGACAGCAGAUGAGCAAGGUGCACCAGGCCAGUUGGAAGAGAGGAUAACAGAUGGCCAAGAGGCUUCAAAUGCAGACAGGAUAACAGAUGGCCAAGAGGCUUCAAAUGCAGAGAGGAUAACAGAUGGCCAAGAGGCUUCAAAUCCAGAUGAGGCUUCAAAGAAGAGAGAAAAAAAGGAAGAUCUUGAAAGAAAUCACAGCUCCUUGCUGGUUCUUGCCACAUUGGUAGCAACACUGACAUAUGUGGCAGGGCUAACCCCUCCAGGUGGCUUCUGGUCUGAUGACAACAAGAACCACAUUCCUGGUGAUCCGGUGCUGCGAGACCACUAUCCACGCCGAUUCAAGGCCUUCUUCUAUUGCAAUGCCACUGCUUUUGCUGGAUCACUUGUCAUCAUCAUCAUGGUCCUCAGUCAAACAGCGGUGGACCAUGUUGUCAAGUCAAAUGCUCUGCGGUUGUGUGUGGUAGUCAGUCUAUUUGGGCUUAUGGGGGCAUAUGCUGCUGGAAGUUGCAGGGAGGUACAUACAUCUAUCUAUGUCUUUGCACUUGUUGGCACAGUCUUGCUCUACCUCAUCAUCCAGUGUAUUGAGCCUGCUCUGUCUAAGGUGGCAUGUAUUGCAAACACCAUCACUCGUGUGAAAAAGAGAAAUAAAGAAAUGGUUCAGCAGCUGAGGACUUUCAUCGCUGACUUGUUAAAACCUCCCAUACCAGUACAAGAUCAGUCAGGCAACAGCACUCCAGGCACUGAUGGUAAGGAUGAUUUCCAAAAGUUGCGCACAUACCUUCUAUUGCUUGGCAUCCUUGCUGCCACAGUCACCUUCCAAGCUGGGCUGAAUCCACCAGGAGGCUUUUGGACGGAUAACAGUGAUGGGCAUAUUGCUGGUGAUCCAAUUUUGGAGGCCAUCAGUCCCAAGCGCUACAAGGUAUUCUUCUAUUGCAAUGCCACAGCAUUUGUAGCCUCUUUGGCCAUCAUCAUCCUACUCCAGAGCCAGUUGAUUACCAUUCAUGCCAUGAAGCGUUAUGUACUGCAAACAGCAAUGACACUGGUGCUCUUUGGUCUUAUGGGAGCCUACGUAGCUGGAAGCAGCAGGAAGUUCUCAACAUCCAUUUAUGUGUUCGUCCUAGUCCUCCUAGUUUUCGCCUAUGUUGUACUUCAUAUUCUAUAUGAGGACACUAGGGAAUACUGGGAGCACAGCAGGGAAUACUGA
This 1539-nucleotide ribosomal RNA is filed under the name Triticum aestivum (bread wheat). Its description in RNAcentral is "partial small subunit ribosomal RNA". Lineage: Eukaryota; Viridiplantae; Streptophyta; Magnoliopsida; Poales; Poaceae. The record is from RNAcentral.